ACCUCAUGAUAUGGACAUUGCAUGAGUUUUCUAUUGAAUCUUUCCCACACCUCAUACAAGGGUUCACCAUUCAAUUGUCGAAAGUUAAUGAUUUUAUCACACAAUU
Capsicum annuum is the source of this 106-nucleotide non-coding RNA. NCBI's taxonomy places the organism in Eukaryota, Viridiplantae, Streptophyta, Magnoliopsida, Solanales, Solanaceae. The record is from Rfam.